Molecule: long non-coding RNA, 345 nt
Filed under: Ananas comosus (pineapple)
Lineage: Eukaryota; Viridiplantae; Streptophyta; Magnoliopsida; Poales; Bromeliaceae
Description: long non-coding RNA (ACOM_LNC043270)
Source: RNAcentral
UGGGGUUAAGCUUUUUGUUCCAAAGAGGUUAAGCUGUUGGUUUUGGGUUUUGAAGGAAUUUCUUAGUUGAGUGGGUUUUCUUGGUGUGUUUAGCUGAAAAGAAGUUUUGUAGUAGGAAAGCAACUUGUUGGGACUGAAACCUGAGGUAAAGUGAUGUAAUUGCUGGUUUCGAUUAGGUUAAUUCUCUAAAAAGGGUUUAAGUUAUGGAUUUUAGGGUUCUAAAGUAUAUAGAUGCUAUGUAAAUGCUAUGUGAACCUAGAAAUGGUAUUAUGGACAGUAUACAUGUAAAUUCUUGGUUAGAAAGGAAAGCAGAGAUGGGUUGGUUGCUGGGGUUUGUUCUAAUUA